This 393-nucleotide ribosomal RNA is filed under the name uncultured eukaryote. Its description in RNAcentral is "SSU rRNA". It matches the Rfam family "Eukaryotic small subunit ribosomal RNA", at positions 587 to 985 of the family's 1831-position model. The record is from RNAcentral.
AGCUCCAAUAGCGUAUAUUAAAGUUGUUGCGGUUAAAAGCUCGUAGUUGGAUUUCUGUCGAAGGCGGCCGGUCCGCACUAUGUGCGUGCAUCUGGUUCGGUUUUGGCAUCCUCUUGGGGAACGUUUCUGUGCUUGAUUGCAUGGGGCGGAAUUCAAGACUUUUACUUUGAGGAAAUUAGAGUGUUCACGGCAAGCUAUCGCUUUGAAUACAUUAGCAUGGAAUAAUAAUAUAGGGCUUAAGUUCUAUUUUGUUGGUUUCUAGGACAUAAGCAAUGAUUAAUAGGGACAAUUGGGGGCAUUCGUAUUAACGCGUCAGAGGUGGAAUUCUUAGAUUGCGUUACGACGAACUACUGCGAAAGCAUUUGCCAAGGAUGUUUUCAUUGAUCAAGAACG